RNAcentral lists this transfer RNA (76 nucleotides) under Nitrospirota bacterium. Its description in RNAcentral is "Nitrospirae bacterium (sediment metagenome) tRNA-Val". It matches the Rfam family "tRNA". Rfam says of the family: Transfer RNA (tRNA) molecules are approximately 80 nucleotides in length. Lineage: Bacteria; Pseudomonadati; Nitrospirota. The record is from RNAcentral. RNAcentral also lists the same sequence under 2 other names.
GGGCGGAUAGCUCAGUUGGGAGAGCGUCGGUUUUACAAGCCGAAGGUCACAGGUUCGAUCCCUGUUCCGCCUACCA